RNAcentral lists this transfer RNA (73 nucleotides) under Chloroflexota bacterium. RNAcentral's name for it is "Chloroflexi bacterium (groundwater metagenome) tRNA-Arg". It matches the Rfam family "tRNA". From Rfam's summary of the family: Transfer RNA (tRNA) molecules are approximately 80 nucleotides in length. Their secondary structure includes four short double-helical elements and three loops (D, anti-codon, and T loops). The record is from RNAcentral. Lineage: Bacteria; Bacillati; Chloroflexota.
GACCUUGUAGCUCAAUGGAUAGAGCGUUGCCCUGCGAAGGCAAAGGUUGCGAGUUCGAGUCCCGCCGAGGUCA